This 1594-nucleotide long non-coding RNA is filed under the name Marmota monax (woodchuck). The record is from RNAcentral. Lineage: Eukaryota; Metazoa; Chordata; Mammalia; Rodentia; Sciuridae.
GCCCCUAGGCCCGGCCGCGCGACGCGCGUGCUCCUUCCCUGGCUCCCCGCCCUGUUUUCCCUCACCCUCCUGGGAACGUAACGCGGGGUUCGCAGCAUCUGGGCGCCUACCGGGGCGCGUCGACACAGGGUCUAGCAAGAAGAGUGACUCGGAGCUACAGUGGUAAUUCGGCGCUGAAGCCAAGUCGAAGACGCGGAGUGUACACACGGCCCUGCGGCCACUGGAGGGGAGCGCCAGGGCAGCUCUGGCAAGAGGCGGUAGGUGGGAGCGAGUCGAGGCGGCGUUUGUCUCCUUCUGCUUGCCGUAGGAAGUGGAGUGCUGGAAGCCUAAAGAGCGACUCGCCUCUUUCCCAAACCUUACAGUCGCCCCACCCCCUCCUUCGCGGCCCGUUACAGGAAUCCGGCCACCGCCACCACCGUAGGGAGUACUUGGGGGUUGUCUGUAGAGUCACGGCUGCAGUGGGCAGCCUUUGUCCAAGGGACGUUCGAUUUUCUCCUCGCCCUUAGCUUUUGUGCCGCGGAGAGGCAGUGCGCUGCUAAGAAACACCGGGGCUGUCCACGCCGGCAUCGCCGAAGUCCCUCGCCACUGUAGGUCGUUUUCCUUUGGAGAUUAUUCCAGCACAGGAGAGCGUGAGCGGAAAUUAAUGUCCGCAUGCAGUCCCUGCGCUGUGCCAAGUGCUGGACUACGUUACCUGUUUAAUUUAGCCCUUACAACACCAAAGGCAGAUCUACCGGGCAACCGGUCCCCAGUUUGAUGCAACUUAAUUUUCUCACGCUGAAUUGCAGUCUAUUUUCGUUUUGUCAGAGCCAUGCUAAGAGGUUUACAGCAGCCAUUAAUUUAAUGUAGAUAAACUAUCUAUAAACCGACAGAGUGACGUGAGUUAUAUUUAUUCCCUGCCUCUCCGUGUUUAUUAAGAUAACUUAAAAUGCCUUUGAGAUGAGUGGAAUUCAGCGUCAUUUCAUUCACACCUCCCACCACCAUAAUUAACUAGUUUACACUCCCUCACAAUCUCAUUAACCUUUUCCCCGUCUGUCUUUAGUCUUCACAUUCAUUCACCUAAUUCUACUGUUUGAUCCCGCCCAGGUUCUCUUAUUUUUUUUCCCUCCCAGGAUACACUUGAAUCACUGCAGCUCUUGGGGACCUGAAGUCUCCCCUUUCAGUACUUCCAACAUAUGACUACCAAUUGUUAGAGGAGGUGCUGCUUGACAAGGUGACUGUAAUAGCUGCCAUAAGACAGGCAUCCUAAACUAAUUCAUUUCCUAGAUAUCCAGGUACUGGAUAAAAAAAAAAAAAAAGCUUUUUUUUCCCUCUAUUCUUUAACCACUUUCAAGAACUUUCUCAUCUCAGCCUCAAAGUCUAACCAAAUUUCCCUUACCAGAAGUUUGGACUUGCUUGGAUCUGUCCCCCUUUCUUUUUUCCAGUUUAUCUUUGGUAAUGGCACUAUCUGACCUAUGGGUGCCCCACCAUUGUAUUCUGGAAACACUUAUUAACUUGUCUGAUUCACAGCUGGAAAAGAAUUUUGCCUCAGGAUGACUCAAGAAGGGUCUGCAGCAUUUGGGCGCACCCAUACCUGAUUUAGCUAAUACAUACUGAG